UUAAAGGGCAAAGCCGUCGAAAGGCGGUGACGCAAAGCAAGGUGUCUAACCAAUUUAUUGUAUGAUCGACCGGCUGC
Molecule: non-coding RNA, 77 nt
Filed under: uncultured Eubacterium sp.
Lineage: Bacteria; Bacillati; Bacillota; Clostridia; Eubacteriales; Eubacteriaceae
Description: Cyclic di-GMP-I riboswitch
Rfam family: c-di-GMP-I riboswitch aptamer
About the family: GEMM was predicted in a large-scale screen for bacterial structured RNA regulatory elements. Genes associated with GEMM are involved in a diverse array of functions, including chemotaxis regulation, signal transduction, secretion and chitin.
Source: RNAcentral